CACGUAUGGGGCGAGCGUUGUUCGGAGUUAUUGGGCGUAAAGGGCGUGUAGGCGGCUUUGCAAGCUUGGUGUUAAAGGUUUCGGCCUAACCGGAACAGUGCGCUGAGGACUGCGGAGCUGGAGUCCAGGAGGGGGAGCUGGAAUUCCUGGUGUAGGGGUGAAAUCUGUAGAUAUCAGGAAGAACACCGGUGGCGAAGGCGAGCUCCUGGCCAUGGACUGACGCUGAGGCGCGAAAGCGUGGGGAGCAAACAGGAUUAGAUACCCUGGUAGUCCACGCUGUAAACGAUGUGCACUAGGCGUUGGGGGCUUUCAGCCCUCGGUGCCGUAGCUAACGCGUUAAGUGCACCGCCUGGGGAGUAUGCCCGCAAGGGUGAA
RNAcentral lists this ribosomal RNA (375 nucleotides) under uncultured bacterium. Its description in RNAcentral is "bacterial SSU rRNA". It matches the Rfam family "Bacterial small subunit ribosomal RNA", at positions 524 to 898 of the family's 1533-position model. The record is from RNAcentral.